Molecule: ribosomal RNA, 309 nt
Filed under: uncultured eukaryote
Lineage: Eukaryota
Description: partial 18S ribosomal RNA
Rfam family: Eukaryotic small subunit ribosomal RNA
Source: RNAcentral
CCCUUAGAUGUUCUGGGCGGCCCGCGUACUACACUGGCACUCUCAAUCAGAGCCUGGAUCUAACACUUUGGGGUAUUCUAUGAAGUGGUGUCGUGACUGGGAUUAACCCUUGCAAUUAUUGGUUACGAACGAGGAAUUCCUUGUAAUCGCGGUUUAUCAGCCCGCGUUGAAUGCGUCCCUGCCCUUUGUACACACCGCCCGUCGCUCCUACCGAUGGAUCGUCCGGUGAAGCUCAUGGAGGGGCGGUUGUCUCAGCUGCCGUCGAAGUGAAAUGGACCUCACGAUCUAGAGGAAGGAGAAGUCGUAACA